RNAcentral lists this ribosomal RNA (1227 nucleotides) under metagenome. RNAcentral describes it as "bacterial SSU rRNA". It matches the Rfam family "Bacterial small subunit ribosomal RNA", at positions 8 to 1226 of the family's 1533-position model. The record is from RNAcentral.
AGAGUUUGAUCCUGGCUCAGGAUGAACGCUGGCGGCAUGCCUAAUACAUGCAAGUCGAACGAGAGGAAGGAGAGCUUGCUUUCCUGAAUCUAGUGGCGAACGGGUGAGUAACACGUAGGUAACCUGCCCAUGUGCCCGGGAUAACUUCUGGAAACGGAUGCUAAAACCGGAUAGGUAGCAGACAAGCAUUUGACUGCUAUUAAAGUGGCUAAGGCCAUGAACAUGGAUGGACCUGCGGUGCAUUAGCUAGUUGGUGAGGUAACGGCCCACCAAGGCGACGAUGCAUAGCCGGCCUGAGAGGGCGGACGGCCACAUUGGGACUGAGACACGGCCCAAACUCCUACGGGAGGCAGCAGUAGGGAAUUUUCGUCAAUGGGGGGAACCCUGAACGAGCAAUGCCGCGUGAGUGAGGAAGGUCUUCGGAUCGUAAAGCUCUGUUGUAAGAGAAAAACGACAUUCAUAGGGAAUGAUGAGUGAGUGAUGGUAUCUUACCAGAAAGUCACGGCUAACUACGUGCCAGCAGCCGCGGUAAUACGUAGGUGGCGAGCGUUAUCCGGAAUGAUUGGGCGUAAAGGGUGCGUAGGUGGCAGAUCAAGUCUGGAGUAAAAGGUAUGGGCUCAACCCGUACUGGCUCUGGAAACUGAUCAGCUAGAGAACAGAAGAGGACGGCGGAACUCCAUGUGUAGCGGUAAAAUGCGUAGAUAUAUGGAAGAACACCGGUGGCGAAGGCGGCCGUCUGGUCUGGAUUCUGACACUGAAGCACGAAAGCGUGGGGAGCAAAUAGGAUUAGAUACCCUAGUAGUCCACGCCGUAAACGAUGAGAACUAGGUGUUGGGGGAAUAACUCAGUGCCGCAGUUAACGCAGUAAGUUCUCCGCCUGGGGAGUAUGCACGCAAGUGUGAAACUCAAAGGAAUUGACGGGGGCCCGCACAAGCGGUGGAGUAUGUGGUUUAAUUCGAAGCAACGCGAAGAACCUUACCAGGCCUUGACAUCCCUUGCAGAGGUAUAGAGAUAUAUCCGAGGUUACCAAGGAGACAGGUGGUGCAUGGUUGUCGUCAGCUCGUGUCGUGAGAUGUUGGGUUAAGUCCCGCAACGAGCGCAACCCUUGUGAUAUGUUACUAACAUUUGAAGCUGGGCACUCUGUGCAGACCGCCCGGGUUAACCGGGAGGAAGGUGGGGAUUACGUCAAAUCAUCAUGCCCCUUAUGGCCUGGGCUACACACGUACU